This 253-nucleotide ribosomal RNA is filed under the name uncultured microorganism. Its description in RNAcentral is "partial 16S ribosomal RNA". It matches the Rfam family "Bacterial small subunit ribosomal RNA", at positions 524 to 776 of the family's 1533-position model. The record is from RNAcentral.
UACGUAGGGUGCGAGCGUUGUCCGGAUUUAUUGGGCGUAAAGCGUGCGCAGGCGGCCCGUUAAGACAGGUGUGAAAUCCCUGGGCUCAACCUAGGAGUUGCGCUUGUGACUGGCGGGCUCGAGUACGGUAGAGGGGGGUGGAAUUCCUGGUGUAGCAGUGAAAUGCGUAGAGAUCAGGAGGAACACCGAUGGCGAAGGCAGCCCCCUGGGCCUGUACUGACGCUCAGGCACGAAAGCGUGGGGAGCAAACAGG